UACAGAGGUCCCAAGCGUUGUUCGGAUUCACUGGGUUUAAAGGGUGCGUAGGUGGGUUGAUAAGUCAGUGGUGAAAUCCCCGAGCUUAACUUGGGAACUGCCAUUGAUACUAUUGAUCUUGAAUACCGUGGAGGUCAGCGGAAUAUGUCAUGUAGCGGUGAAAUGCUUAGAUAUGACAUAGAACACCAAUUGCGAAGGCAGCUGGCUACGCGAAUAUUGACACUGAUGCACGAAAGCGUGGGGAUCAAACAGG
This 253-nucleotide ribosomal RNA is filed under the name uncultured bacterium. RNAcentral describes it as "partial 16S ribosomal RNA". It matches the Rfam family "Bacterial small subunit ribosomal RNA", at positions 524 to 776 of the family's 1533-position model. The record is from RNAcentral.